GGAGCAUGCGGCUUAAUUCGACGCAACGCGAAGAACCUUACCAAGGCUUGACAUAUACAGGAAUAUGGCAGAGAUGUCAUAGCCGCAAGGUCUGUAUACAGGUGGUGCAUGGUUGUCGUCAGCUCGUGUCGUGAGAUGUUGGGUUAAGUCCCGCAACGAGCGCAACCCUCGUUCUGUGUUGCCAGCAUUUAGUUGGGGACUCACAGGAGACUGCCGGGGUUAACUCGGAGGAAGGUGGGGAUGACGUCAAAUCAUCAUGCCCCUUAUGUCUUGGGCUCACGCAUGCUACAAUGGCUGGUACAAACGGCUGCAAUACCGCAAGGUGGAGCGAAUCCGAGAAAGCCAGUCUCAGUUCGGAUUGGGGUCUGCAACUCGACCCCAUGAAGUCGGAGUUGCUAGUAAUCGUAGAUCAGCAACGCUACGGUGAAUACGUUCCCGGGGCUUGUACACACCGCCCGUCACGUCACGAAAGU
This 473-nucleotide ribosomal RNA is filed under the name uncultured Actinomycetes bacterium. Its description in RNAcentral is "bacterial SSU rRNA". It matches the Rfam family "Bacterial small subunit ribosomal RNA", at positions 934 to 1411 of the family's 1533-position model. Lineage: Bacteria; Bacillati; Actinomycetota; Actinomycetes. The record is from RNAcentral.